Molecule: ribosomal RNA, 492 nt
Filed under: uncultured bacterium
Lineage: Bacteria
Description: partial 16S ribosomal RNA
Rfam family: Bacterial small subunit ribosomal RNA
Source: RNAcentral
AGUGAACGCUGGCGGUAGGCCUAACACAUGCAAGUCGAACGGCAGCACAGUAAGAGCUUGCUCUUACGGGUGGCGAGUGGCGGACGGGUGAGGAAUACAUCGGAAUCUACUUUUUCGUGGGGGAUAACGUAGGGAAACUUACGCUAAUACCGCAUACGACCUACGGUUGAAAGCAGGGGAUCUUCGGACCUUGCGCGAUUGAAUGAGCCGAUGUCGGAUUAGCUAGUUGGCGGGGUAAAGGCCCACCAAGGCGACGAUCCGUAGCUGGUCUGAGAGGAUGAUCAGCCACACUGGAACUGAGACACGGUCCAGACUCCUACGGGAGGCAGCAGUGGGGAAUAUUGGACAAUGGGCGCAAGCCUGAUCAAGCCAUACCGCGUGGGUGAAGAAGGCCUUCGGGUUGUAAAGCCCUUUUGUUGGGAAAGAAAAGCAGCAGGUUAAUACCCCGCUGUUCUGACGGUACCCAAAGAAUAAGCACCGGCUAACUUCGUG